Homo sapiens (human) is the source of this 1382-nucleotide long non-coding RNA. Ensembl annotates it as long intergenic non-protein coding RNA 1121. Lineage: Eukaryota; Metazoa; Chordata; Mammalia; Primates; Hominidae. The record is from Ensembl.
AGUCAAGUGCUUAGGUAACUCACAUUUGCGACUUGCACGGUGUGAAUUGUGGGUGUCCUCACCUGUCCUGAGACUAGCCAGCUGACUGUUGCCCAGAGCUAGCAGGCAUAGCCAGCUGAAAUUCUGAAAGUGGAUUAUGCAUGGAGUAAUGCUGUUCUCAGGAAAUCAGUGAUUUAUUUUAUAAUCUAAAAUUUAAACGUUUUAAUAUACCUCCCAAGAAGAUACCCAGUUCAGAAAACUGCAGAGGAGCCAUGGAACUCAGCAGAAGGCCAGCUCCCUCUCUGGGAGGCCGCCUUCAGGAAACCAAUCGUCCCCCCACCUGAUUCCAAAGGAAUUACAGAAAAAUGGAAAGCCAGGAACAAAAAUCAUAAAUCAUAUUUUCAAUAUGACCUUGUAACGUUAUCCAUGGAUGUUACCUCAGACUUCGUGAUAAGCUGAGGCCCUGACACCAUGUUCCUGUCACCUUCCUGUUGUGGCCAUGAACGAUGCCUUGAGCUCAGCUGUACCUGGAUGCUUGGACUCAGCUGCUGCAGCUCAGAGGCUCUGGACGAGCCCUUCAUCAUCAGGCCAUCUCUUCUGAGAUUCUGCUCAGGACUUGGGCCUGGAUGAUCUGCUGAGCUUCAGUCUCUGCCCUGCUCCCCUCAUGGAGGACCUGAUUCAUCUGGAGCCUCGGACUCCCUAUGUAGUGGUCCCUGGGAUCAGAGCAGCACUCUUGGAAGAACAGUAAAACAGACUUGUUAUUGGCAGCCCAUUAGUGCUCAGGAGAGGCGGUCUCCAGCAUGACAUCAGCCGGCGGCUCGACCCAAAUCUAGUAUUUCACCAGAGAGCCUAACGCUGCUGGCUUUCCAACUGUGUGGAAGACGUAAGUGGGGGAGAGGGAAGAAGGCAUAAAUAAGAUACAGACUGGAGACUUUUUGAUGUGUUUAGCACAUUUUUGUGAUUUCCUUUAAUACGAUAGGCCUUGCAUAAUCUCCCAUUAGGAGAACAAAAGACAAGCCUGAGAUGGGAUGGAGAAUGGGUGGAGAGGGGGAUCCAUUCCAUAAAAAGUUCACUUUGAGUAAUUAGCAUUUUUAAUCCAAAUACUUAAAAGGGGAGGCGAAUUGGGAAGAGAAGAAUGAAUACAGCCGAGUGACUGCAGAUAUAAAAAGUCCCUUCAUUAAUUCGGUUGUUUUUUAAUUCCUAAUUGAACUUAAAUAAAGAGGACCUAGAGGCAGCUGUUUCUAAUAUCGAGUCCCCACCGCACAUGAAAGACGCAUUUAUUCCUGCAGCAGCCUCCCUACCCUUGGGUGUUAUCAGCUGAACAUGUUUUGAACCUACCUAAUGCAUUUGAGGUAGCUUGGGUUUAUUUUUCUUUCAAUAAAAUAAAUGGUUUUGUAAUUAAA